CACAGAAAUUCUAGUUUCCUCCAGGGUGGGUGCGGAGAGGGCCUGGGGUUGGCUCAGGGAGGGGGAUGCAGAACUAGGUCCAGAGAAAAAGGUGAGGUUAGAACCGGGCCUCUGGACGGAACUGUGGGCGAGGGGAGGGGCCCGUACUCGGGGGUGAUUUAGAGGUGGGACCUGGCCUAGCCCGCGGUUCAGGUGGCGGGUCGGGCUGGAAGGGCGGGGAUGAAGGAUGGGACGCAUCUCUGGGGAUGCUCCUCCAAAGCUUUUAUUGGGCUAGUGCAGUGGCUCCCGCCUGUAAUUCCUGCACUUUGGGAGGCUAAGAGCCUCACUCUGUCACCAGGCUGGAGUGCUGUGGCGCAGUAUCAGCUCACUGUAACCUCCGCCUCCCAGGUUCAAGAGAUUCACCUACCUCAGCCCCCAAGUAGCUGGGACUACAGGCUGGAGUGCAAUGGUGCGAUCUCGGCUCACUGCAACCUCUGCCUCCCAGGUUCAAAUGAUUCUCCUGCCUCAGCCUCCCGAGUAGCUGGCAUUACAGGACAUUGUUGCGGGAAGUCAGGGACCCCAAACGGAGGGACCGGCUGAAGCCAUGGCAGAAGAACGUGGAUUUGAACAUUUCAUGGACAUUCAUUAGUUCCCCAAAUUAAUACUUUUAUAAUUUCUUAUGCCUGUCUUUACUGCAAUCUCCAAACAUAAAUUGUAAGAUUUCAUGGACACUUAUCACUUCCCCAAUCACUUCCCUUGUGAUUUCCUAUGCCUGUCUUUAAUCUCUUAAUCCUGUCAGCUGAGGAGGAUGUAUAUUGCCUCAGGACCCUGUAAUAAUUGCAUUAACUGCACAAAUUGUACAGCACGUGUUUGAGCAAUAUGAAAUCUGGGCACCUUGAAAAAAGAACAGGAUUUAACAGCAAUGUUUAGGAAACAAGACAGAUAACCUUAAACUCUGACCGCCCGGUGAGCCGGGUGGAACAGAGCCAUAUUUCUCUUCUUUCACAAGCAAAUGGGAGAAAUAUCACUGAAUUCUUUUUCUCAGUGAGCAACAUCCCUGAGAAAGAGAAUGCACACCUGGGGGUGGGUCUCUGAACUGGCCCCCCGGGCAUAGCCGUCUCUUAUGGUCAAGACUGCAGGGGUGAAACAGACCCCAGUCUUCCAUAGCGCUCCCAGGCUUAUCAGGAAGAGGAAAUUCCCGCCUAAUAAAUUUUGUUCAGACCGGUUGAUCUCAAAACCCUGUCUCCUGAUAAGAUGUUAUCAAUGACAAUGGUGCCCAAAACUUCAUUAGCAAUUUUAAUUUCGCCUCCGUCCUGUGAUCUCACCCUGCCUCCACUUGCCUUGUGAUAUUCUAUUACCUUGUAAAGUACUUGAUGUCUGUGACCCAUACCUAUUUGCACACUCCCUCCCCUUUUGAAAAUCCCUAAUAAAAACUAGCUGGAUUUUGCGGCUUGGGGGGCAUCACAGAAACUACCGACAUGUGAUGUCUCCUCCGGACGCACAGCUUUAAAAUUUC
Symphalangus syndactylus (siamang) is the source of this 1495-nucleotide long non-coding RNA. RefSeq lists it as uncharacterized. The record is from RefSeq and is a predicted model, not a curated record. NCBI's taxonomy places the organism in Eukaryota, Metazoa, Chordata, Mammalia, Primates, Hylobatidae.